RNAcentral lists this long non-coding RNA (1385 nucleotides) under Betta splendens (Siamese fighting fish). RNAcentral's name for it is "lncRNA (ENSBSLG00000000354.1)". Lineage: Eukaryota; Metazoa; Chordata; Actinopteri; Anabantiformes; Osphronemidae. The record is from RNAcentral.
UGGAAUUAUUACAUUAUUAAUAUUUUCAUCUGCUGGCUGGCAUAUUCACCCUGAAACAGAGCUUUGCAAAAUGAUGGAGAAUCCGUGAAGAAUUGGUCUCAGAAAUGAGCAACGCUCUCGCCCGCUGUGAACUGUUCAAAUCAUCCAGUUUGCUUGACUUUUUGAAGAUCCUGCCUCAUGUGGUCCGCGCUACGAGGCCAAAGGAGACGGAGCUCCAAGCUCGGUGGGGCUCCCACUUUGAUACCCGGCCCAACAUGGCGUCCUGUGACAUCACGUGGCAGGGGGUCUCUGUGAAGCUAAUCUCUAAUAAGGGAUGAAACGCUGCAUCUGAUGAAGGUUGAUCUUUCGAGAACCACUUUAAGAGGAGCUGUUAAUGAUGACGACUUUGGACGGUUGAAGUGGAAAUGUUAAUGAAGGACCACCACUCGGUUUGAUUCGGUUCAUUUAAUGAGACACGUCACUGAUUUAUGGAUUAGAAAUGAAUAUAACCUAAUGACAUUUUGUGAAAACACACUAAACUGAACCACUCAUUUAUGAAUCACAAUACCACACAUUACAAAUUAUAAACAGCCGUUUUUAUGUGGGAAAGUACUAUUUUACUUGUGGCGUUUGUAUACUGAUUAAGUUACUUCUUAUCAGUCAAACCUGGCAACAUACGGUUAUUGGCAGAUACGUUACCGCCACAUCGGCAACAACGGACACUUCGACGUUAAACACCACAGAAUUAGAAGAACAACAGGAGACGUUUAUGUGCGUUUCCUCCAGACAACGUUGAACGAGCAUCCCGGAAGCAGCUUCGGACGGAGGCGCUCCUGCUUUAAAUGCUGGACAGGUCAAAGAGCAUCUUGGAGCUGUCACGGCCCGCCUGCCACACAAGAGGAACUUCCCUCCAGUCCUCGGCGUUACCCACAUGGCAAGAGGAUGUGCAGCGGCUGAUGUGGAGGAAAGACAAUCAGGCCGUCAAGGGUGAACCCCCCGUGAAUAAUUCCAACUUUAAUUGGAAAGAAAUCUAUACAUGGAACUUCACUUGCACGCAGGAUCACAGUACCUUGAAGAAACAAUUACAAAGCAUAGAGAGGUAAUCAAUGGCUCUGCUUCGCCAUGAAAUGUCACCCGAUGAAGCUGAUACGGCCCUGAAGUAUUAGCGUUUAACCUGUGUCUCUAAGUGAAUAGCGUACAGUUAAAGCGAGCACAAGGUGGCACUAGUAGCUGUACAAAUACAUUCAGCACAUACAUCUAAUGCAUGUAAAUUAAACCUCAUCUGUGCCCAUAGUUGUAGUUAUUGAACCAUUAUUUCACAGUUUAUUAUUCUUUUCAACACUUAAACUCUUUUAAUACAAUAUUUCUUCUAACAAUUCCCCUCCGUAGUUGUGUGCUCUCCAAAC